GCCUGGCCGUCAUAGCGAGGGGCCAACACUCGAUCCCAUCUCGAACUCGACAGUGAAAACCCUCAGCGCCUAUGGUACUUGGUCUUAAGGCCUGGAAGAGUCGGUCGCCGCCAGGC
This 116-nucleotide ribosomal RNA is filed under the name Caedimonas varicaedens. Lineage: Bacteria; Pseudomonadati; Pseudomonadota; Alphaproteobacteria; Holosporales; Caedimonadaceae. The record is from RNAcentral.